This 555-nucleotide ribosomal RNA is filed under the name uncultured fungus. RNAcentral describes it as "eukaryotic LSU rRNA". The stretch from base 199 to 352 matches the Rfam family "5.8S ribosomal RNA". Lineage: Eukaryota; Fungi. The record is from RNAcentral.
AAGUCGUAACAAGGUCUCCGUAGGUGAACCUGCGGAGGGAUCAUUACUGAGUGCGGGCGCUAGACGCCCAACCGUCCAACCCUUAUGUUGAUCGAACCUCAUUUUGCCUCGGGGGCAGACCCGGCGCCGCGUCCCCCGACGGAACAUCAACACUCUGCAUCUCUGUAGCGUCGGAGUGACUUAACUGAAAUGAAUCAAAACUUUUAACAACGGAUCUCUUGGUUCUGGCAUCGAUGAAGAACGCAGCGAAAUGCGAUAAGUAAUGUGAAUUGCAGAAUUCAGUGAAUCAUCGAAUCUUUGAACGCACAUUGCGCCCUUUGGCAUUCCGAGGGGCAUGCCCGUUCGAGCGUCAUUAAACCCACUCAAGCCUGGCUUGGUAUUGGGCGACGGGGACUCCCCGCGCCUCCAUUUCGCCGGCUGGCCGUCGUUUGACUUAGCGUUGUGACACAUGUCGCUGAUGAAAUUGAUGGUUGCGCCGUUAGAAUUCUCUUGAAUAUCAAUCGAUAUUCAGUAAAGGUUGACCUCGGAUCGGGUAGGAAUACCCGCUGAACUUAA